UUCCGGUUGAUCCUGCCGGACCUGACUGCUAUCGGAUUGAUACUAAGCCAUGUGAGUCAUUGUAGUAAUACAAGGCAGACGGCUCAGUAACACGUAGUCAAUCUACCCUAUGGACGGGGAUAACCUCGGGAAACUGAGAAUAACACCCGAUAGAUCAUAAUUCCUGGAACGGUUUAUGGUUCAAAUGAUUCGUCGCCGUAGGAUGGGACUGCGGCCUAUCAGCUUGUUGGUGAGGUAAUGGCCCACCAAGGCUAUUACAGGUACGGGCUCUGAGAGGAGAAGCCCGGAGAUGGGUACUGAGACACGGACCCAGGCCCUAUGGGGCGCAGCAGGCGAGAAACCUUUGCAAUGUGCGCAAGCACGACAAGGUUAAUCCGAGUGUUUCCUGCUAAAGGAAUCUUUUGUUAGUUGUAAAACCACUAUCGAAUAAGGGGUGGGCAAGUUCUGGUGUCAGCCGCCGCGGUAAAACCAGCACCUCAAGUGGUCAGGAGGAUUAUUGGGCCUAAAGCAUCCGUAGCCUGUUCUAUAAGUUUCCGGUUAAAUCCAUUAGCUCAACUAAUGGGCUGCCGAAAAUACUGUAGAACUAGGGAGUGGGAGAGGUAGACGGUAUUCGGUAGGAAGGGGUAAAAUCCUUUGAUCUAUUGAGGACCACCUGUGGCGAAGGCGGUCUACCAGAACACGUUCGACGGUGAGGGAUGAAAGCUGGGGGAGCAAACCGGAUUAGAUACCCGGGUAGUCCCAGCCGUAAACGAUGCAGACUCGGUGAUGCGCUGGCUUGUGGCCAGUGCAGUGCCGCAGGGAAGCCGUUAAGUUUGCCGCCUGGGAAGUACGUACGCAAGUAUGAUACUUAAAGGAAUUGGCGGGGGAGCACCACAAGGGGUGAAGCCUGCGGUUCAAUUGGAGUCAACGCCGGGA
Molecule: ribosomal RNA, 915 nt
Filed under: uncultured crenarchaeote
Lineage: Archaea; Thermoproteati; Thermoproteota
Description: bacterial SSU rRNA
Rfam family: Archaeal small subunit ribosomal RNA
Source: RNAcentral